RNAcentral lists this ribosomal RNA (528 nucleotides) under Triticum aestivum (bread wheat). RNAcentral's name for it is "partial small subunit ribosomal RNA". The record is from RNAcentral. Lineage: Eukaryota; Viridiplantae; Streptophyta; Magnoliopsida; Poales; Poaceae.
AUGGCGGCCGCGGGAGACGCCGGCGAGAAGAAGAUGAUCACACUCAAGAGCUCGGACGGCGAGGAGUUCGAGGUGGAGGAGGCGGUGGCCAUGGAGUCGCAGACGAUCCGCCACAUGAUCGAGGACGACUGCGCCGACAACGGCAUCCCGCUCCCCAACGUCAACUCCAAGAUCCUCUCCAAGGUCAUCGAGUACUGCAACAAGCACGUCCAGGCCAAGCCCGCCGAUGGGGCUGCCGCCGGAGCCGGAGCCGGAGCCUCGGACGCCGCCCCCGCCGCCCCCGCCGAGGACCUCAAGAACUGGGACGCCGAGUUCGUCAAGGUCGACCAGGCCACCCUCUUCGACCUCAUCCUGGCUGCCAACUACCUGAACAUCAAGGGGCUGCUGGACCUGACCUGCCAGACUGUUGCUGACAUGAUCAAGGGCAAGACCCCAGAGGAGAUCCGCAAGACCUUCAACAUCAAGAACGACUUUACGCCCGAGGAGGAGGAGGAGAUCCGCAGGGAGAACCAGUGGGCCUUUGAGUAG